Solanum dulcamara is the source of this 350-nucleotide long non-coding RNA. RefSeq lists it as uncharacterized. The transcript is spliced from 4 exons. NCBI's taxonomy places the organism in Eukaryota, Viridiplantae, Streptophyta, Magnoliopsida, Solanales, Solanaceae. The record is from RefSeq and is a predicted model, not a curated record.
CGUUUCAGCAACCCAAAUACACCGCUUCGCUACAUCUUCUCAAACAGAAUAAACGUCGUUUCAUUGCCUCAUUAUCUUCCAUUACAAUGCUUGCCUGUUGCUUCUUCUUCUUCUUCGACGAUCUCUCCGCUGCCCAAGACCAGAGGCAGGAGAAGUUGAAAAGUUGUUUGUUCAAUUCAAAUAAAGCGUAAGCUUUUUAAGAAUUCAAAGUUUUGAAAGCAGCAUGAUCAACAAUGUCCAAUUUGAAUGUACAAAGGCCACCCUUAUUAUGCACUGUAUGUAAUUGUGGCUACGCCACAAAGGUAAAAGAGGAUCAACAACAAAGUGUACACUGUGCGUACAAUGAUUUC